GGGCUCGUUUUGGCAGCACAUAUACUAAAAUUGGAACGAUACAGAGAAGAUGGUCCCUGUGCAAGGAUGGCACACAAAUUUGUAAAGUGUUCCGUAUUUUU
Small nuclear RNA from Ictidomys tridecemlineatus (thirteen-lined ground squirrel), 101 nucleotides. NCBI's taxonomy places the organism in Eukaryota, Metazoa, Chordata, Mammalia, Rodentia, Sciuridae. The record is from Ensembl.